GCAAACUUGGUCAUUUAGAGGAAGUAAAAGUCGUAACAAGGUCUCCGUAGGUGAACCUGCGGAGGGAUCAUUACAGAGUUCGUGCCCUCACGGGUAGAUCUCCCACCCUUGUGUAUUUCAUACCUGUGUUGCUUUGGCAGGCCGCUGGGUUGCGUUGCGGCCUGGCCACCGGCUCCUUGGGGCUGGUGCGCGCCUGCCAGAGGCUCCUUCAACUCCUGUUUGUCAGUGUUGUCUGAGUAUCAUGCAAAUCGUUAAAACUUUCAACAACGGAUCUCUUGGUUCUGGCAUCGAUGAAGAACGCAGC
RNAcentral lists this unclassified non-coding RNA (304 nucleotides) under uncultured fungus. RNAcentral's name for it is "partial contains small subunit ribosomal RNA, internal transcribed spacer 1, and 5.8S ribosomal RNA". The stretch from base 1 to 73 matches the Rfam family "Eukaryotic small subunit ribosomal RNA", at positions 1759 to 1831 of the family's 1831-position model. The record is from RNAcentral. Lineage: Eukaryota; Fungi.